UUACAGGAAAAGAGACUAGAAAUGAACAAAUACACACAGAAUAUGAAGGGAUUCAGCAAAAAAGAAGAUUAUUACAUGGACUAUGGGGUGGAAGGUGAUGAAGAUUAUGAUCAGGUACAGUUGCAGUCAAGAGAAACACGAAACAUCGAGCAAUGGACUUCUAUGGAGACAUCAUCCAACGAGAGACUCCAAAGAGGUCCAUGAAGCUUGUUCUGGUGGUACUUUUGAUCAUAAUUCUUCUCCUAGGACUUGUCGCAACGAGUGUAUUACUUUUUCUUGAGAAAACAAAAA
Long non-coding RNA from Saccostrea cuccullata (small rock oyster), 291 nucleotides. RefSeq lists it as uncharacterized. Lineage: Eukaryota; Metazoa; Mollusca; Bivalvia; Ostreida; Ostreidae. The record is from RefSeq and is a predicted model, not a curated record. The transcript has 3 exons.